CAAUAGCGUAUAUUAAAGUUGUUGCAGUUAGAACGCUCGUAGUCGGAUUUCGGGGCGGGCCGACCGGUCUGCCGAUGGGUACGCACUGGUCGGCGCGUCCUUCCUUCCGGAGACCGUCCCUACUCUUAACUGAGCGGGGGCGGGAGACGGAACGUUUACUUUGAAAAAAUCAGAGUGUUUCAAGCAGGCAGCUCGCUCUUGCAUGGAUUAGCAUGGGAUAAUGAAAUAGGACUUUGGUGCUAUUUUGUUGGUUUCGAACACCGAAGUAAUGAUGAGAAGGGACAGUCAGGGGCACUCGUAUUCCGCCGAGAGAGGUGAAAUUCUCAGACCAGCGGAAGACGAACCACUGCGAAAGCAUUUGCCAGGGAUGUUUNCACUG
Molecule: ribosomal RNA, 379 nt
Filed under: uncultured eukaryote
Lineage: Eukaryota
Description: partial 18S ribosomal RNA
Rfam family: Eukaryotic small subunit ribosomal RNA
Source: RNAcentral